AGUCGAACGCAAGCUUCGGGUUGAGUGGCGGACGGGUGAGUAACGCGUGAGAAUCUGACUUGGGGUCGGGGACAACCACUGGAAACGGUGGCUAAUACCGGAUAAGCCUUUGGGUAAAAGAUUUAUUGCCCCAAGAGGAGCUCGCGUCUGAUUAGCUAGUUGGUGAGGUAAAAGCUCACCAAGGCAGCGAUCAGUAGCUGGUCUGAGAGGACGAUCAGCCACACUGGGACUGAGACACGGCCCAGACUCCUACGGGAGGCAGCAGUGGGGAAUUUUCCGCAAUGGGCGAAAGCCUGACGGAGCAAGACCGCGUGAGGGAGGAAGGCUCUUGGGUUGUAAACCUCUUUUCUCAGGGAAGAAGCUCUGACGGUACCUGAGGAAUCAGCCUCGGCUAACUCCGUGCCAGCAGCCGCGGUAAUACGGAGGAGGCAAGCGUUAUCCGGAAUUAUUGGGCGUAAAGCGUCCGCCAGGUGGCGAUUCAAGUCUGCUGUCAAAGCACGGGGCUUAACUCCGUUAAGGCAGUGGAAACUGAAUAGCUAGAGUGCCGUAGGGGUAGAGGGAAUUCCCGGUGUAGCGGUUGAAAUGCGUAGAGAUCGGGAAGAACAUCGGUGGCGAAAGCGCUCUACUGGACGGCAACUGACACUCAGGGACCGAAACUUAGGGGAGCGAAGCGGAUUAGAUACCGCAGUAGUCCUAACCGGAAACGAUGGAUACUAGGUGUAGCUUGUAUCGACCCGAGCUGUGCCGAAGCUUACGCGUUAAGUAUCCCGCCUGGGGAGUACGCACGCAAGUGUGAAACUCAAAGGAAUUGACGGGGGCCCGCACAAGCGGUGGAGUAUGUGGUUUAAUUCGAUGCAACGCGAAGAACCUUACCAGGGCUUGACAUGUCCGGAAUCCCGGUGAAAGCUGGGAGUGCCUUCGGGAGCCGGAACACAGGUGGUGCAUGCCUGUCGUCAGCUCGUGUCGUGAGAUGUUGG
This 977-nucleotide ribosomal RNA is filed under the name uncultured organism. Its description in RNAcentral is "bacterial SSU rRNA". It matches the Rfam family "Bacterial small subunit ribosomal RNA", at positions 60 to 1078 of the family's 1533-position model. The record is from RNAcentral.